GACAGAGGUGCCAAGCGUUAGGCGGAAUCACUGGGCUUAAAGCGUGUGUAGGCGGGUCGUUAAGUACCUUGUGAAAUCCCACGGCUUAACCGUGGAACUGCUCGGUAUACUGGCGAUCUUGAGCCACUUAGGGGCUACCGGAACAAAUGGUGGAGCGGUGAAAUGCGUAGAUAUCUGGAGGAACACCGGUGGCGAAGGCGGCAUCCUGGACCAAUAUUGACGCUGAGGAGCGAAAGCCAGGGGAGCAAACGGG
This 253-nucleotide ribosomal RNA is filed under the name uncultured bacterium. Its description in RNAcentral is "partial 16S ribosomal RNA". It matches the Rfam family "Bacterial small subunit ribosomal RNA", at positions 524 to 776 of the family's 1533-position model. The record is from RNAcentral.